AGGCUUUGAUCCUGGCUCAGAACGAACGCUGGCGGCAGGCCUAACACAUGCAAGUCGAACGCCGUAGCAAUACGGAGUGGCGGACGGGUGAGUAACACGUGGGAACAUGCCCUUUGGUUCGGAAUAACUCAGGGAAACUUGAGCUAAUACCGGAUAAGCCCGAGAGGGGAAAGAUUUAUCGCCGAAGGAUUGGCCCGCGUCCGAUUAGCUAGCUGGUGAGGUAAUGGCUCACCAAGGCGACGAUCGGUAGCUGGUCUGAGAGGAUGAUCAGCCACACUGGGACUGAGACACGGCCCAGACUCCUACGGGAGGCAGCAGUGGGGAAUAUUGGACAAUGGGCGCAAGCCUGAUCCAGCCAUGCCGCGUGAGUGAUGAAGGCCCUAGGGUUGUAAAGCUCUUUCGCCAGGGACGAUAAUGACGGUACCUGGAUAAGAAGCCCCGGGU
Molecule: ribosomal RNA, 444 nt
Filed under: uncultured Hyphomicrobiales bacterium
Lineage: Bacteria; Pseudomonadati; Pseudomonadota; Alphaproteobacteria; Hyphomicrobiales
Description: bacterial SSU rRNA
Rfam family: Bacterial small subunit ribosomal RNA
Source: RNAcentral